Gigantopelta aegis is the source of this 4573-nucleotide long non-coding RNA. RefSeq lists it as uncharacterized. The record is from RefSeq and is a predicted model, not a curated record. NCBI's taxonomy places the organism in Eukaryota, Metazoa, Mollusca, Gastropoda, Neomphalida, Peltospiridae. The transcript is spliced from 2 exons.
GAGCAAAUAAAAGAUCCCUUGCUGCUAAUCGGAAAGAGUAGCCCAAGCAGUGGCGACAGCGGGUUUCCACUCAAAACUCAGUGUGGUCCUUAACCAUGUCUGACGCCAUAUAACCGUAAAUUUUUCUAUGACGCUGAAGAGACACCUCUAUAACUGGCGCCAGGUUUUCAAUGACGCUGAAGAGACACCUCUAUAACUGACGCCAGGUUUUCAAUGACGCAGAAGAGACACCUCUAUAACCGGCGCCAGGUUUUCAAUGACGCUGAAGAGACACCUCUAUAACAACUGGCGCCAGGUUUUCAAUGACGCCGAAGAAACAUCUUCAUAACUGGUGCCAGGUUUUCAAUGACGCUGAAGAGACACCUCUAUAGCAAUUGGCACAAGGUUUUCAAUGACGCUGAAGAGACAUCUCCAUAACAACUGGCGCCAGGUUUUCAAAGACGCUGAAGAGACAUCUCCAUAACAACUGGCGCCAGGUUUUCAGUGACGCUGAAGAGACAUCUCUACGUAACAGGACUAUAUUAUGAAAGCAACAACAAUUCAGCAUGAACAUGAAAACAAGUUCAUGUACUAGCGUCGGAAGUUGCUCUUCAAAAAAAAAAAAAUCCAAACAAACAAAUAAAACAAAACAAAAACACAAUUUCCUGAUUCACCGUGCCCUAAGUAGUGAUACCAUUCUACCUCUGUGAAUUUAUUUAUUUUAAUUUCCAAUACUUUGAAUAAAUAAAAUGGUGUUAGAUGGCGGAUUAUGUACGAAUAUACAUGUAUUUCGCAGACAACAAGUCUAUCAUUUCCAUCCGUAUGUUUUUUGUGCUAUGGGAAAUGCUUUAAAAGAUUUCCGAUCCACUAUUCCAUAUCCCUCCUGUGCUCUCAUGAAAAAAAGUUGAAUCGUAUAUAAGCUUAGCCUUUAAGUAUAUUGUUCAAAAUAAUUAAUCAGCUUAUUUAUUUUGGGGUGGGAGAGAACCAUUUUACAUUACCUUUGAGAAACUAGUCUUUAAAAAAAAAUUAACCACGGUGUAAGGCGCAUCUGGGUGUGAUGAAUGUGUGAAAAACAUAAUAAUUUUUAAAAUGACACCAUCAGAGAAUAAAACACAAUUUAUACAUAAUGGUAAAUAAAAUCUCAAAUGAAUGCAACAAUUCUAAUAUAAAACCAUUUGAAGCAUGAUAACAUUUACCACACGUUAACAAAACACAGAUCAGGCCCACUACAUGUAUAAAUAUUUUUUACUUAAACCUCUUUGUUCAGACAACAAUAUGGCAAGAAUAUUACGUGAAAACAGCUAUAAAUAAUACAGAAAUUAGUUUGCCAUUAAUCACUACAAACUGUGUGUUAAAAUACAUCACGAAACCGACCGAUAUGACCAUAAUUAUGUAUCUACGAAAUGGUCUUUGGUGCAGGGCAGCUUAUAUUGAGUGCAACAUCCAAUCAAAAACAAAAAAAGAAACAAAGGAAUGUUUAAUGUCAUCUAUGGCCGUUUGAAUUGAUGUCUAACAUGUAGUUGUGUGAUGCCUGGUUAAGAUAGUGAGGGACAAAACGUCCUGCCAUAGGAUACUCCAACCAAACCACAGCAAAUAAUAUUUUAUAUUCAUUUUCCAAAGCCAGGAUAUCACUAACCACAGACCUCGAUAUAUCAGUUAUGUGGGUGUCUAUACGGAUGAGAGGGGUGUAUGUGGAUCCUCCAUAGCUAUUAAUCCUACAACCCAUUGUACAUCAGGCAUUCAUUUUACCACUGAGCUACAGCAUGCCCUCUCUAAUUUGCAAACAGUAAGCUGCAAAAUAAAACAACAGAGCCUGCACUAUCUUGUGGUAACCUAGACGGUCGGUCAGGAUUCAAGUUUGGGUAGUAAUAAAUGUUUCCCAUUACAGUAGCUUAAACAGUUAGGAUAAUAAUAAAUGUUUCCCAUUACAGUAGCUUAAAUAGUUAGGAUAACAAAACAUGUUUGCUAUUACAGUAGCUUAGAUAGUUAGGAUAAUAAUAAAUGUUUGCUAUUACAGUAGCUGAAAUAAUUAGGACAAUAAUAUGUUUGUUAUUACAGUAGCUGAAAUAGUUAGGAUAAUAAAAAAUGUUUGUUGUUACAGUAGCUUAAAUAGUUAGGAUAAUAAAAAAUGUUUGCUAUUACAGUAUCUUAAAUAGUUAGGAUAAUAAAAAAAAAAUUGCUAUUACAGUAGCUUAAAUAGUUAGGAUAAUAAUAAAUGUUUGCUAUUACAGUAGCUUAAAUAGGAUAAUAAUAAAUAUUUGUCAUUACAGUAGCUUAAAUAGUUAGGAUAAUAAUAAAUGUUUCUUAUUACAGUAGCUUAAAUAGUUAGGAUAAUAAUAAAUGUUUCCCAUUACAGUAGCUUAGAUAGUAGGAUAAUAAUAAAUGUUUGCUAUUACAGUAGCUUAUCUAUAGUAGGUUUAAUUAGAGUGUUAAAUACCAAUAAGCAGUCAUAGAAACAGAAGGGGGGGGAGGUGAAUUAAACUCCUGUAAUACAAAAUUAAAAUUAAAGCAUGCUGAGAUUUAUUUUUAUUAUUAUUUUUUAAUGCAUUAAAAUAAGGAAUACAAAAUGUGAACACGUCAUUCUUUGGGAGUUAAUGGCCUUAUUUCCUCCAUACAAUAGUUACAGUAGUGAGAAUCAUUCUUAAAAAAAACCCAGUGCUGCACAUUAAUGGGGCGAGAUCAUUUUAAAUAUGACAGGAAUGUAACAAACAUGUAUGUGUGCACCAGGUAUGUGUAUAUAUGCACAUGAUAAAACUGAUACAUUCUAAUGAAUUUAAAGAAAUUAAUCCGAUUAUACACUUGUACUUUUAAAAUAUUAAAAUGCUGCUAUCCAUCUUCGGAUACAUGACAAACACCAAGUCACAACUUAACAGCACCCUGAUUCGAUCGAAUUGUAGUAACAAUAUGCACCAUUUAUUAACCAUGGGAAGAAUUUAGCUAUUAAAUAUUUAUUUCAGGACAAAGUCUUCUCAGACAGCUUUUGAAUUUACUUGUUGACAGUGAGAUACAUAUUUUAUGUCAUGCGAAUGGCUAACCAAUUACUGUGCGACAGUCUCAGAUAUCACAGACUGAAGCUUUUAAUGCUCUGUAGCAAAACACAAAGAGAAAGUAUCUCUGGGCAGCAUGAAUAUUGGAUGCAAAUGGAAACUCUGUAGGAAUACUAUCUACAAAUUACAUACUGCACAGUCACUCGGUUGUUAUGUACACAAUACAAAGUGGAUCAAAACUGUAUUGAUGGAACAGAAUUGUAAACACGGUAUAUCAAACAGAAAUAUAAUUUCAAUUGUUAAAAAAUAUAUAUAUUACUCUUCUUCUUUUUUAAUAUAUGCCAUGAAAAAUGGUCUAUAAAUUGCUAAAUAAUAGUUCAUUAUUAUGGAAUUAGAUUAUAACUGCAGACACCAUUUUACCAUCAUACUAAAUAUUAUACUUAAUUUAUAAAAAAAAAAAGAUAAAAAGACAAAUUAUUUACAGAAAGAUGCAUAAAAAUACUAGUUUAUAAAUAUAUGUACUCGGUAGUAUAGAAAGGUCUUUAAAUAAAGGGCCAUAACUCUGCUUCCAUCACACAUCAUCUUUCAAUUCAUGUUGGCUGUUAUCUCCAGUUUAUGUCACAUAUAAAUAUGUUCAGCCAUUACAAAGCACAGAAGGAAGUAAAAAAAAUUAUGUAAUUGGUUGUACAAUGUUUCAAAAAGACUUGUAUGUGAAUGUUUGUUGUUAUAUGGCACCAACAACAUCCAGUAAUUCCAUGUAAUAAAGUAAUCUGUAAAGCAUUGUUCCAAAUAAGAAAUAUCAAUAAAUUGAACAUGUAUUUUAUCGAAAUAAAGGCUUGUAAAUUUCUAAAAAUGUGAAAUAUGACACUGAGUAAUGAACUCCCAUCUUAACUACCAAUGGUACCAUUCCAUAAAUGCAUACAAACCUAUAGCCAAUUUUACAGAGCCUGUUUCAGUUACCAGUACACACAUGUACCUACACUCACUUACAAUGCUUAAACACCUGCAGGGUUUUUUUACAAAAAAAACAAGCUUUGUAAAUUUGACCCCAUAUGACUAAAAGAAACAUCACAACAUCUGUACAGAGGAGGAUAAAAUGUUUUUAUGUUAUAUAUGUACAUUUUAGUGACAGCGUAAUUUUAAUAUUAAUAAGGAUAUAUAAACACUGGAAUAAAUAUUUAACAAUUCAACAACAUAACAGAACAACAGGCUGCACAAAAUAAGCACACAAAAAAUGUAUGAAAAAAUCAGGAUGCAUCAUUUACUGAAUAUAAAUAUGUGGGUGUAUAUUUAUAUAUGAUCAUGAAAACAGUCCUUAUUUUGGCACACUUCUUAUUUCUAACAUUCUUGAGUAUAUUAUCUUUCCACAAAUGAGACACUGUGGUAUUAUUUCAUCCUUUACUGGUGUUUUCAUCGAUACCCUGGAUCCAAUUGAAGGCUAAAACUUACAUUUUCAUAAUACUCAUACAGAUAUGUACAAAGUGUCAAACACAACAUGUCAUACUCACUGUAACACUAGAAUUUCGAUGGGAAUAAUCACAAAUGAUGUUUUGUUUUGUUAACAGAUUUGUAAUUUUAAUUCUGCAUCAACUUUUUUUCACAGAUAC